Salvia splendens (bonfire salvia) is the source of this 721-nucleotide long non-coding RNA. RefSeq lists it as uncharacterized. The transcript has 2 exons. NCBI's taxonomy places the organism in Eukaryota, Viridiplantae, Streptophyta, Magnoliopsida, Lamiales, Lamiaceae. The record is from RefSeq and is a predicted model, not a curated record.
GUUUGAGAGGAGCAUGUGAUGCCGUUGCAGUUGCAGUUGCGGAGGAGGAAGACGAAGAUGCAGAUAAGGAUGCGAACAUAAAAGGGAAGGGAAUUAUGGUGAACAACCUUCAAGUGGAAGAAUCCUCGUUGCUUAGGGCUAUAGCCUAUUGGUAUGUGUGAUUUUAUGUUUCUAUAAAUUGACAACAAAAGAAUAUGGUGCAGGUCAUAUAACUACUACUUUCCUUUUGUUGCAAAUUCUUCAAACUUGUUUGCGUUCUGAUUGGUGACUACAUCGUCAACACUCGAUGAUGAAUAAAGUUCUCAUCUUCUGCUUAUGGCAAAAGCUACGUUAUUGGCUUCGCAAUCCGGGACGAUGCAAGAGAGCCGUUGAUUAUAGUGCCAAGUAUAUUCAAGUGUGGCAAUGAUAAAAAGAAGAGAGCAUUAAAAUUUGUAUGGUUUGGAGAGUUUCUUGACUUUGUGUUUGGUUCCCACUUGACCAACAAUUUGUUACUACUUCUACUAUGUUGUAGUGUCAGCACAAAAGCAAAAAGGAGAGAUGCUUCUCAACAGGAAGACUAGAUUCCUACCAUCAUAGGUAGAAUUAGGUUGUCAUUUUACUUUCAGGCAUCAUUCAAAGAGUAAAGCAUAUGCAGAUUCUCAAUCCUUAUGUAUAUAUGGUAAUAUUCUUAGCUUCAAUUUCUGUAUAUUUCUUGCUACUUUUAGUUGGUUACAGCUUGGAA